CGACCUCAGAGCAGAUGAGAUUAUCCGCUGAAUUUAAGCAUAUUACUAAGCGGUGGGAAAGAAACUAACUAGGAUUCCCUUAGUAGCGGCGAGCGAACAUGGAAGAGCCCAGCACUAAAUCCCGCGGCCGGAGACGGACGCUGAGAAAUGUAGUGUUAGGGAGGAUCCGAAUAUCUCGGUGCGUUGCGGCGAGUUCAAGUCCAUCUUGAAUGGGGCCAUUUACCCAUAGAGGGUGCCAGGCCCGUAGCAACCGUUGUGCGUAUCGAGAGGAUUUCUACUCAGAGUCGAGUUGCUUGAGAGUGCAGCUCUAAGUGGGUGGCAAACUCCAUCUAAGGCUAAAUAUGACCACGAGACCGAUAGCGAACAAGUACCGUGAGGGAAAGUUGAAAAGAACUUUGAAGAGAGAGUUCAAAAGUACGUGAAACCGUUCAGGGGUAAACCUGAGAAUCCCGAAAGAUCGAAAGGAGAGAUUCAAUGUUAUCGUUGUCUUCCAUUUAUUGGCGUGCGAUUGACCGGGAUUCGUUCUGCGAUACGUCGUCGGUUUAUGCGUUAGGCGGCGAUUGCAUGCACUUCUCUCUCAGUAGGACGCCGCGACCCGUUUGGUGUCGAUCUAUGACCGCGGCGGUAGCCUGUCACGAAUUUAUUCGCGUCAGACCCGCGUGCUCCGGUCGACUGCCAGACGGUAUAAAUGAUAUGGUAUAGGGUCGCUUUUAAGCGUUUGGCUGGUUGCAAGCACGGACGGUUAUUGGCCGUCGGACCUGAUCCUACAUCGAUGCCGCCUCAAGCUGUUAGCUGCCGUGUCCUCGGACGGACUCUAUUACCGGUCAGCGAUGCUAUUGCUUUGGCGGAGGGAGCUUUGAAGGAGUCUAGCAUGUGCGCGAGUCAUUGGAAAAUACAAAACCUAAAGGCGCAAUGAACGUAAAUGUUUGCUUAUGUAAACUGAGGGAAGACGGGCCGCAUCUACGAAUGCGUGCUUGCAAUCCCGAAGCGUCUCACUCUCAUUGCGAGAAGAGACGCGCUCAGAGCGUACACGCUAGGACCCGAAAGAUGGUGAACUAUGCCCGGUCAGGUCAAAGUCAGGGGAAACCCUGAUGGAGGACCGUAGCGAUUCUGACGUGCAAAUCGAUCGUCGGAACUGGGUAUAGGGGCGAAAGACUAAUCGAACCUUCUAGUAGCUGGUUUCCUCCGAAGUUUCCCUAAGGAUAGCUAGCAUUCGAUGAGCGAGUCUCAUCCGGUAAAGCGAAUGAUUAGAGGCCUUGGGGCCGAAACGAUCUCAACCUAUUCUCAAACUUUAAAUGGGUGAGAUCUCUGGCUUGCUUGAAUAGUGAAACCAGAGAUUUGAAUCAGACUACCUAGUGGGCCACUUUUGGUAAGCAGAAUAGGCGCUGUGGGAUGAACCAAACGCCGAGUUAAGGCGCCUAAACGACGAUAAUGGGAUACCAUGAAAGGCGUUGGUUGCUUAAGACUUAAGUUGGAAUCCGCUAAGGAGUGUGUAACAACUCACCUGCCGAAGCAACUAGCCCUGAAAAUGGAUGGCGCUGAAGCGUCGUGCCUAUACUCGUCCGCCAGGGCAUGAGAAACGUUCAUAAUAGUUCGUUUUGACGCCCUGGUGAGUAGGAGGGUCGCGGUGGUGUGCGCAGAAGGGUUUGGGCGUAAGCCUGCCUGGAGCCGUCAUCGGUGCAGAUCUUGGUGGUAGUAGCAAAUACUCCAGCGAGGCCCUGGAGGACUGACGUGAAGAAGGGUUUCUUGUGAACAGCCGUUGCACGCGAGUCAGUCGAUCCUAAGCCCCAGGAGAAAUCCUAUGUUGAUGUUGGUGUAUUUUAUUUUGAAUAAAAUUUUACACCCAUCGGGCGAAAGGGAAUCCGGUUCCUAUUCCGGAAACCGGCAGCGAAACCGUUUACAAGUCGAGCCUUUGCAAGAGAGUUCGUCGGGGUAACCCAAAAUGACCUAGAGACGCCGUUGGGUAAUACGGGGAGAGUUUUCUUUUCUGUAUGAGCGUUCGAGUUCCCUGGAAUCCUCUAGAAGGGAGAUAGGGUUUGGAACGCAAAGAGCACCGCUGUUGCGGCGGUGUCCGUAUCUUCCCCUCGGACCUUAAAAAUCCAGGAGAGGUCUACGGUAGGUGUCGCGCCGGUUCGUACCCAUAUCCGCAGCAGGUCUCCAAGGUGAAGAGCCUCUAGUCGAUAGAUAAAUGUAGGUAAGGGAAGUCGGCAAAUUGGAUCCGUAACUUUGGGAUAAGGAUUAGCUCUGAGGAUCGGGGCGUGCCGGGCUUGGUUGGGAAGCGGGCGUAGGCCAAUGUGCUGGGCCUGGGCGAGGUAAAAUUGUCCUUGUGACUUAGAUCCAAGCUCGGUCCCGUGUCUAGGCCCCCCGCGGAUCUUUCUUGCUGCGAGGUUUCUGUGCCGGCUUCGGUCGGUCAGUCGUACUCUUCGGCCGCCAUUCAACGAUCAGCUCAGAACUGGCACGGACUAGGGGAAUCCGUCUGUCUAAUUAAAACAAAGCUUUGCAAUGGCCGUAGCUGGUGUUGACGCAAUGUGAUUUCUGCCCAGUGCUCUGAAUGUCAACGUGAAGAAAUUCAAGCAAGCGCGGGUAAACGGCGGGAGUAACUAUGACUAUAGAGUAGUUAAAUGCCUCGUCAUCUAACUAGUGACGCGCAUGAAUGGAUUAACGAGAUUCCCACUGUCCCUAUCUACUUUCUAGCAAAACCACUGCCAAGGGAACGGGCUUGGAAAAAUUAGCGGGGAAAUAAGACCCUGUGGAGCUUGACUCUAGUCUGGCAUUCUAAGGAGACAUAAAAGGUGUAGCAUAAGUGGGAGAUAGUAAUAUCGUCGGUGAAAUACCACUACUUUUAUCGUUCCUUUACUUACUCGAUUGGGCGGAAAGCGUGCGUCAAAAACUUGCGUUCCGACUGACACGGUUUUCUAGAGCCAAGCGCAUAAGAGUGGUGUGAGGCAUUGCGCCGAUUGCCAACAAUACUCUAGGGUGAUCCGAUUCGAGAAAACUGCUUGGCGGGGAGUUUCUCGCGUAGAGAGAAAGGGCAAAUGCUGGCUUGAUCCCGUUGUUCAGUGUGCACAGGAACUGCGAAAGCAUGGCCUAUCGAUCCUUUUGGCUUGAAGAGUUUUCUGCAAGAGGUGUCAGAAAAGUUACCACUGGGAUAACUGGCUUGUGGCGGCCAAGCAUUCAUAGCGACGUUGCUUUUUGAUCUUUCGAUGUCGGCUCUUCCUAUCAUUGCGAAGCAGAAUUCGCCAAGCGUUGGAUUGUUCACCCACAAAUAGGGAACCUGAGCUGGGUUUAGACCGUCGUGAGACAGGUUAGUUUUACCCUGCUGAUGAAUCGUCGUUGGGAUAGUAAUCCUGCUCAGUACGAGAGGAACCGCAGGUUCGAACAUUUGGUUCACGCACUCGGUCGAGCGGCCGGUGGUGCGAAGCUACCAUCCGUGGGAUUAUGCCUGAACGCCUCUAAGACCGUAUCCUUUCUAGACAAAGUAAGCAACGAUAUCUCUAGGAGUCUCGUGAGUCGAAAGGCUCAAUACAAUGUGAUUUAUUAGGUAUUCGGCACACGCCGUUUAUCGCACGAGCCAUUUUUAGCCGAAUGAGGCGCCUGACAGUGGCGAUAUCCGUCCGUUAUAUCUGCGUUGCCUAAAGCGGUCGAUCAUGGGUCACUAGUUCGAUGUAGAGACUCGGAAUCGUUUGUAAACGACUUAGGUACCUGGCUUGGUGUUGUACUCGGCAGAGCAAUUACCACGCUGCGAUCCGUUAAGACUCAGCCCUUGGCUUGGGGAUUUGU
Ribosomal RNA from Ctenocephalides felis (cat flea), 3780 nucleotides. The record is from RefSeq and is a predicted model, not a curated record. Lineage: Eukaryota; Metazoa; Arthropoda; Insecta; Siphonaptera; Pulicidae.